RNAcentral lists this ribosomal RNA (918 nucleotides) under Triticum aestivum (bread wheat). RNAcentral's name for it is "partial small subunit ribosomal RNA". The record is from RNAcentral. Lineage: Eukaryota; Viridiplantae; Streptophyta; Magnoliopsida; Poales; Poaceae.
AUGGCGGCCGGAGGUGCACCCAUGCCUCCCAUGAGAGAAGCAAAACUCAUGCCUCCCAUGGCGGCCAUAGCAUCGGAGGGUGCUCCAAAGCCACUCAUGCCUCCCAUGGCGGCCGGAGGUGCACCCAUGCCUCCCAUGGCGGCCAUAGCGUCGGAGGGUGCUCCAAAGCCACCCAUGCCUCCCAUGGCGGCCGGAGGUGCACCCAUGUCUCCCAUGCCUCCAAAGCCACCAAUGCCUCCCAUGGUGCCGAGGCCACCGCCUCCCAUGGCGCCGAGGCCACCCAUGCCUCCCAUGGCGCCGAGGCCACCGCCUCCCAUGGCGCCGAAGCCACCCAUGCCUCCCAUGGCGCCGAGGCCAUCGCCACCCAUUGCACGAACCAAGGCUCUUUUUCGGAUCAAGACUUCUUGUUGGGCAAGAUUGACAUACUCCUUUUGCGCCGCAUUGAGGUUAGAUGUGUCCAUGAAGAACAAGUGCUUCUCCCAUUCCAACAACUUAGCUCGCUCCUCGUUGCUCACUUUCCUCUCCUCCAAAGUCACCUUUCUCUCCUCGGCCGCCAUCCUUCUCUCCUCGGCCGCCAACCUCCUCUCCUCGGCCACGGCAUCUUGGUUCCUUGCCAUUUUCCUCACCUCAUUCGCUUCGACCCUUGCCUUCACAAUAGCUUCCAUAGCAUUUUUGAGCUCAUCAUCUCCUUUCUUCUUCUUCUUUUCGGUUUUGUCUUUCUUGCACCCAUCCGGUCGUUUUGGCUUCGAGUAUGAAACCGAGUUGGGUGUGGGGCUUCUCUUGCCGUCAUCACUUGAUGCAUCAUCCUCCUCAUCAUCAUCAUUCAUCUCAAUUGCUCGCUUCCGUUUGUUGCUCAAAUGCAAAUCCUCCAAACCAUCACGCUUCUUCCAUUUCUCAUCAUCCUUUAACACUUCAUAG